Non-coding RNA from Salvelinus sp. IW2-2015, 2483 nucleotides. The record is from RefSeq and is a predicted model, not a curated record. Lineage: Eukaryota; Metazoa; Chordata; Actinopteri; Salmoniformes; Salmonidae.
AGCCCUUGCWGGUGUGUGUGUGUUGGUGUUUUUGAGCAGGCGUGUGUGUUCUUCAGACACAGGAGAGAGCUGCCACCGCCGCACUCAGCCCAGUGGAGGACACCAGGGCCAGAGUGAGAGAAGGAGAGAGAGAAGGGACAUAGAGCCAGGUUGCUAAAAAAAUUAACUCCUCAGGGUUGUUGGAGAGUUGGUCUGGUUUCUACUGGGAAAAGGUUCUAGAGACUGCUAAGAUGUUUUUCCGCAUCCCUCGACUGACCCCUGGAUACAUCAGAUACUUGCAGACUCAAGCUGCCCAGACCGUGCUGCAGAGCCGGGAAGGCCCCAUGAUGUCGAGGGUGGCCAUGCUGCUAGGGCUGAUGGGAGUUGGGAUGUCUGGGUACAGCUCGCGACAGCUCACCCUGCACUGCAAGCCCUCCGCUAACCUGCUGAGAUGAGGCAAGACACAACACCUCUGACCUUCCACCCUGUCGGAGGUCGCCAGACCCCGAGAAGACGACAACAUGGAUAAGAUCGAUCACUGGAGCAUAUCCAACACCCCUGGAUUCCACUUACACUACAARAAUAAUUAGUCUCUGUUUCCUAAAAAGGUUUUGUUUUAGUUUAGUUUUUGUUUGUUACCCUUGCCCCUUUGAUUUCCCCCAUUGUGGUUGAAGUUUGGGACGAACCAAGUUCAGAUUCUUAUUCUGAAAAGUUUGAGAUUGAAGAUCGAUACUUUAAGGUUCCACACGCGCAGUUAUGACCAUAUAAGAUUAUCCCUUCAUUUAAAAAAAAAAAUUGAUAUUCUUUUAAACUACCUCUCCCUUUCAAACCAGUUAAAGUGUUAUUCAGCCAACACACAUCAAUCCAUUCUUAUUGAGCUCUUAAUGUUUUCUUGAGCUGGUAACAUCCUCAACUUUAACCACCCAUUUUMUUUUUUGUAAUUCUGUGCCUUAAAGGGGGCGAUCCAUUAAAAUCAGUUUAAAACACCAAAUGGUGUUACCUCACGCUAACACAAGAAGACCAAAACCCAAGAAAUAAAGACAAUGCAAUGGAGAAAUAUCAAAUAUGUCAAAUAUUUUUCAAACCUGCCGAAAUUCCCCAGUACCUCUGUUUAUUGCCAUUCUCUUGUCUCUGUUUGGCAAGGCAUGUACACAGAGCUUAGCACCUCUGUYUUAGGGAAGGUAUCCAGUGUUUUCCUGAAUAAUGUCAAGCGUGGCAGGAAAGGAGAGCGAAAUCAAAAUGGUAGCAUCUUGGAACUCCGAGAAUCCAGUUGGUUUUAGGGAUUAUAAAAAUGUUUUUUGUCUGUUAUCAUCAAUGCUCUUGAUUCUGGAGACAAGAUUCCUUCAUUUGGGACUUGCUUUACUUUCUUUGUCUGCUAUGUUUGCAUGCAAAGAAAUACAGGAAAAAUCCUUUGACCAAGAUUCAAAAUGUACUCAACCGACCUGCUUCCAAUUGUAUUUUCUAAUUGUCUUUUUUUAUUUGGUCAAGCCCAACUUUUUCCCAUGGAACCUCUUUGAUUUUGCACAGUGAAAAGAUUGACAUUUUCUACAUACAUUCUUUUCACCAAAACACUCUGACACUUUGCACUUUUUUAAGAAUGUUUGUGUGUCUACAUAAUAUGUACAUAAUGUACAUAUUUGAAUAUUUGAAGCUUGAAGAGAUUAGUAGAUGGUUAAGUGACAUGGAAAGUGACGCCAGAUUGGUUUGAGAACUAGUCUGGGUGGAAUCCAGCUGGAUUCACACACAGCACCACAGUUUGGUAUCAGGCAUCCAGGACAGCCACCCUGGAUGGACCUCAAUGGACGAAUGCCACCGUAUGUGUGAAUUCACCGAGAUUCCUCCCAGUUGUCCGCCAUGUUUGUCAGAAUAGCGAUGUUUAGAUUAAUGGCCUUAUGGUCUCUUAACAUAGCUAGCAUGAAAUACUAUUUAUAUUUCCUUUAGAUUCAGAACAUACAAUACACACUUUGUAAUAAGGGAAAGAACUUUAACACGACAGCAUAUGAAUGUAUCACCGACACAAUGAAUGUUUCUUAGUGGUAUACUGUAAUUGUAAACAUGAACGUACUGUAGGUUACUGUGUCAUAACCAUGGGAUCCCACUAGUCUGGUUUAGAGGAAACAGUGGAUGUAACCAGACCUUAGAUUUACACUGGAUUCUCCAAUACAACAGAUUACCAUGCCGUUGGUAGUAGUCCAGUGAUCCAGUCGUCUUCCAGUGAUCCAGUGGUCUUCCAGUGAUCCAAUGGUCUUCCAGUGAAGACAGUCAUUGCUGUUUAAUAAUUAUAGUACACUACAGUACUGUUUGUUUUACAAGGUUACAUUUCAUACCAAAAGGCUUACAAUAGGCCUAUCUUUGUAUUGUUGCUAAAUGUAACAAUGUUGUUUAGGAAUGCCAUAGUGAGUUGAAGCAUUAUGACUGCUUCACAAAGCACCUUUGAAUAUCUAUUCAUAUUUAUUGUUAUGAUACAGCAUGUAUCAAUACUAUGAAUAAAACCUAUAAACUGA